This is a non-coding RNA of Xyrichtys novacula (pearly razorfish), 6695 nucleotides long. The record is from the annotation of a GenBank genome assembly. NCBI's taxonomy places the organism in Eukaryota, Metazoa, Chordata, Actinopteri, Labriformes, Labridae.
AUCCCUCACUGGAGACCUUUGCAAAUGCUUUCUCUCCUUUUCUUUGAUUUACGUCGCGGUUUAAAAAUGAUGUCGCAUCACAGCCUCUUUCUGUCAAGUGGUCCUUUAGGAGGAGGAGGAUCAUAAUGUGCAAAAUACCUGCUAUGUUAAGAUGCACGUCUCUCAAAGUGUCUGUCAACUGCAAAUAAAGCUAAUAAAGCAUGCAAACCUCAAAAGAACUCGGUGAGGUCAGAAUUGAUCGAGUUAAUCAAGCCAGCCCUUGUACUCAUGUGUUGACACAUGCACAGAAAAGAGGAGCCCCAAAAAAAAAAUCCCCACCAAAAAGCUGUCUGGCUUCACAAAGAGCUGGCUUCAAGUUAAAGCGCUGAAAGAUGCUAAAAAUACAUUUUUUCCCACAUGCACUGUGCCAUAUAAAAUAUUUAUAGUGAGCUCUAGUCUGCUUAGAAUGGCUGUAGCUUAGGAUGCUACAGGACGAGAGAGAGAGAGAGAGAGAGAGACAUGAGGGGUGGAGGGCCAGAACUUACAUAAGAGUAAACUGCAGUUUUAUAGUGCAGCACUAAGUUGAACUUUUUCAUCAAUCAAGCAUUUAACAUGCGAGUAAAGAUUUGAACUUUAGUGUUUUAUUAUUAAUGGACAUUACUUGACAAAGUAUGUGUUGCAGCCAGUUGAACAGAAAAAGAAGACAUUUAAAAUCCAGAGAAAUUAUACCAUAAUAGGAACUUUACCUCCCCAUGCCUAUGGUCAUUCAGUCUAUUUUAUUUCUUACACCUCACACAGAAAUAAAUACCCAUUUUACAGGCUUCACUAAAUGGUAGUUAAAUCUCUAUUGUGGAAUGACAAAACUACAAGUAUCAAGAAAGAAUAAAUCUUUAAUUGGCAGAAUUAAGGGUGGACAGAUAUCAAAUUUAUUUAUCAUCAGUUAGCUAACAGCAACAGUUAUUACUAAAUUUAGGGAUGAGAAUAAGCUAUUGCUUACACAAGUAAAGUAUGUGAAACAAACUUAAUAUAAAAAACUUCAAUAUCAAAUUUAGAUGGGUGCAAAACUUAUUCAUCUCAAGCAAACUUGAAAUGAUUCGCUCUUUAACUCAGCAACAACACACAUCUUCAUGAUGGGGUGUUGUGUGCAUAUAACUGAAUUCAGGGCAGGAUCAGUCAGACUCUAAUGUUAAUAAUAAACCAAAAUGUCUCAUGAAGUCUGUUGAAGUUAAUCCAAUAAAUAGUUUAGGGUGAAACUGUUGUCUUUCUUAUAAAUCUUCAGGUUGUGGGAACUGGACUCAGAAGUGUUGCUGAUAUUCCUUUGGGGACUUACGAUCCAAUACAAGAACUAAUUUAUCCCCAAAGUGAAAUUCAUCCAAAUGACUCUGACGCCAACACUGAGGACUUAAGAUUAAAGACUGUGGAGCACCCUCAUGUUGUUCUCUGUUGUUUUACCAGAAAUCAUUACGCUUAGCAAUUUACAAGCCAACAAGAACAGUGUGAGGGGACACGGUCAUGUAUUUAAUCAUUUAGAGGACCUAAAAACACUAGCCUGCUAGCCUGAGAAAUGAUACAUAGGCAUAGUUAUUAAUACAAGAGGCGUGCCAACUGAGCUUUAUCAUGCUGCAAUGUUGCAAACAGCUUUAACUCUUAACACACUUUAUCAGGCAUGUUUGCUUAUGGAACAAAGUAAAUUUUACAUGUCCUGUUAUUCAAACGCAUGCACAAUGCAUUAUCCAAAUGUUAAUGUUCCCACACACACACACGCAUACAACCCAUUUUAUCCAUACAUCUGUGUAUCAACAUGGAAAACAAAUUCAUUAUUUAACACCUUAUAUUCUACUGAGCCAUCGUGUAAUGGCCAUAAAUGCAUAAUGCAUGCAGCCCAUAUAGAAAGAAAUCACAAUUCCAAUGUGAUUUCAAGGGUCUACCCCGCUCUGCAUGGUAGAGCCUGCUGCUGCUGCUGUUGUGUUAUGCACACAGUGUUAUUUCUCAUCUUAGUGAGAAGAUGUAACCUUUCAGCUCUUCCUUAUAUGAUUUUCCAAGGCGGUGUCAAUGUAAAUCAUCCUUUAGGUAUAAGGUCAACAGAUAAUUUAUGGUUUGAUCUUUAUAUCAGCACCUCCAUGCAUUUUGAAAGACAGUCACAUACGUACAUCAUGUGUUAGUGUAUGUAUGGGGCAGGAGAAGGAAUCUAUAAUUCAACACUGGCUUUUUGAUGGCUUCUCCCCAGAGGCUUCUUGCUCUGCUGUUUUUGUUUUUUCUUUCUCCCUAUGACCCUUUUAAAGUCUUUCUAGCUUCUGCUUUGUCUUUUGACAGUGGCGCUGUUAGCAAUUGAUCAACUAGUGUUUCUGAGUGCACGUCUGUUUGAUGUUUCUGUGUGUUCAUUAGAGCUUUUGUUUCUAUUUUUUGCUAGCAGCAAGAAUCCUCUGGUCAGGUCUCUAAAUGGUUAAUCUCAUACAGAAACAAUCUGGAAAAUCUCCUCCACAUGAUGCGUUUCAGGGCAGGGGAAAUGGGCAUCUCACAAAUGACAUCUUAUCAAAUGAAGCUAAUUAAAUUCAGAUGGAGAUUAGAAGCUAACCCUUGCUCUUUGCUGCCUUAUUGAACCAUCUUGUUGCAUUUCUUUGUAACUGAUCCAAGUCUUUCCUUUUGCUGUCCAGGCUAGCUAUGUGGAGUGCCAUCUUUGGAUUCCCUUUAUUGGGACUGAAUACAUUGUUGAACCAUUUUGUCGGCUGACACAAAAAGACCAAAAACAUCUUGUUUGAUUAUCUGAUUAUUUCAAUUUUUGGGUUUAAAGCGGCACAUAUUCCUAAUAAGAUGGUAAUUUCAGUUCAGUCAUUAUCCAGUUUGGGUGCGAACAGUUACUCAAACGAUGCAGGUUAAUCAUUCCAGUGGUCACCUUAAAAUCUGAAUCUUAUCAUAUUGGCGACACUUGUUUUGAAAUCAACUUUGGGUUGCAGCUAAUUGUAUCUCUGCAUUUCUGUUGUGAGUGUUUUCUUUUAUUUUUAGGAGAAAUAGUGACCUCACACAAACAUCAUCUGAGUAUAAAGAAAUUAUCACUUAGUCACAAGAGGAAAAACAGACCUCUUGAAAUUUGGCUUUUCUCCUGACUCUGGGGAUUUGGUUUGUAUGAAGAACAUAAACUGGCCUUUAUCUGACUGCCUGUGGGUUUUCAAAUUGAUUUGUAGAUUUUAAUAAUCACUCUGGGUUUUGCCCAAAGUUAUACUGUAGAAAUGUGGGCACCAUAAAAGUCAUCUCACAGCCUUAGAUUUCAAGGUGGUGCCUGUUGGUCUUUCCAAAGUCCAGCUUUGAAGGAGAUUAAUCUUGUUAAAUCAAGGCCCUCGACUUUGAAAAGACCUUCCUGAGGAGAAAAAUGCUUGCAGAAUCAUUUGAAUCACUUCUAAAUUCACUUAUACAGACUUACUUUUAUGUGGUUUUCCUUUUUUCAUCACUUUUAACUUUAUUUUUCUUAAAUUAAUUUGAAGACUUGCUUUCAUAUAUUGAUGUUUUUGUUCAACCUAUUUGCUGUAAGUCUUCAUCUGAUCCCUCGAUCACAUUUAUUUCAUUUAUUUACUCAUUUAUUGAUUGGUUUAUUUAUAUCUCACUGCGCCUCAUCUUUUUAACUGGUUUUCAUUCUGAUAUAAUGUUCCUUUUAUUAUUUAUUCUGCUUGGUCUGUCAAAGCACUUUGUAAACUUCUCUUCCUAAAGUUGCUUUAUAAAUACAGUUAUUAUUAAUACACAUUUGUGCAAGUGCUUUACAAAAGAAUAGCUACAAACAAAAUAAUAAUAAUAAAAACAUCCAGCUUUGUCUCAAAUAGACUUCACACUCUCAGUUAUAUUAACUGUCAGUUUAUUAGUUUUUAUUAGUUUUGGAAAAGCUGUGCACACCCUCCACCCACUCUGCACCUCACUGUGACAGGCGCACACACUUUACUGUGGAGCAUGCUCAGUACGUCCUGCUUGUAAACACACAUUUUUUGUUUUUUUUUAAUCCCUCCUGUUAAAUGUCAUCUUCUGCUGUUGUUACAGUUAACUUCAGCUGUUAGUACACGGUGUGAUUUGGUAACCUUAUCACAUCGGUUUAGAUCAUUGUGAUGUGUGAUACAGUUAACAUUAAGUUUCCUCCUCGUGUCAUUCCACUGUGGUACUGCUGUUUUAACACACUUGGGUCUGCUUGUACACGUCCCCAUGUGAACACAGUCCAAGUUUGAUAUAAUGUCAUGAACUGAUCCACGAUUCAGACCAUGAAAACACCACGUCUGUGCAAAGAGCUCAAAUACCUUUACCUUACCUUUUGGCACAUGCAAGGAAAACACGUGGACAUGAAGGAGUGAUAGUCCAGAUCUGAAGAAAAUAACUUUAUAUCCCAGGAAAUACAAUUGCAUGUCUUCUUAGGGCUUCCAUAACACACAAAAUUUCAGCCAUUUUUGACUGUGUAGCAUGUGUUGUGCUGCACGUAUUUUUGAGUAAAUGCAAUAACCUGAAUAUAAAAACACUAUCUCAGUCUCUUUUUUCUGAGCUUGCUGUCUCACUCUGCCUCAUGUUUGUUAUUUUUUAUCCAUCUUCCUGAGCUCAGCAGAGGCUGUUUUGGAUGUUUUCUGUGUCAAGGUAACCUUCAGGGAAUUGAGUCAAGUUGUCUCUAAAUUGAAUAAUGAAUGUCUUUCUCUGUUUUUUCAACACAAGCAGGACCGCGCACAAACAGAAAGGUAUACGUACAGAGCUGGUAUCGUUCAUAAGCUAACACUGAUAACCAAUCAGUAAACUAGCCCUGCUGUCUCCAGAGGAUUCAGGAUGACACCGUCGAUAUCUUGCUCGCUCUCUUUGAUCCAUGAACAGCUUAGUCUCGCCAUCGUGUUAAUGAGAAGCAGGGAAACAUCAGCUAGACAAAAACAAGCGAGCUAAGGGAUCAAUUAAUUGGGAUAUGUCAGCAGUGACGAUAGCAUGAUGUGUGAUGUGUGCAGAAGUGGGCGAACGCAUGCUAAUUUAGUGCAACAACUUUCCACGGUUCAGCAGGAAAGUGUUGUCUAACACCUGCCGAACAGGUGCCUAUUAGGAUGAUUUAAGUAUUGAAAAGGUUUUAUGUCAAGAUGAGAGGAUCAACUGUGCAAGUUGGGGCUGGGAGGCAGAUUAUAUCAUUUGCCAUAGAGCAAGGCUACUUGUGGUUGUGCUAGGCUAAGCUAACCACUGCUUAUAUGACUCCAUGCUGGACAUCCAAAAAUGCAGAGAUGUAACUUUCCAGGAGUAGAUUUGAUGCAGUGAAGAAAACAUUUGGUGAAUUCUUCAAUAUAACAUGUUUUCUACAGCUGUCAUUGUGAGCUCGCCUGGCUGUAAAUUUAGGUGUAAGUGAUAAAAGUGACGAGGCCUGAAUUGAGGUGAAGUGUUUAACUUGAACUGUAUCAUUGUGCAAACAUGCAAAUAUCAUGGAGCUACAUUGUGAAAUGCAGUGGUGUUUUAAAUUACUUAAGCAUUGUUCAUUCUAUGUAUGUGUUAGGACAAAUGAAUUCAUUUGGAUUUACUGACAUGAUGCCAGAGAAGUAGAGUGGAUGAAAGUACAUGAGCUCAUGUUUUAGGCUGAGUGUGAUCGUAUUGACUCAUAUUUGUCCAGUAAGUCAUGUGACUUAUGGCAGGAAAACUUUAUUUAUGUGCUUUCAAAUAUUAAAAAAUCCAAAAUUGUUGUUGUUGUUUUUCGGAUUGGACUCUCAUCUAGUGUUGGUGGAAAGUAAUGGGGUUUUUAGGGAGAUGAGGUUAUAUUGUUGCUUAGAUUGGAGUCAGCUGGACUCCUUUGUUGAAACUGGCUGGACAACUGUGACAGAAGCUGGUGCACACAGGCUAAUUAUACCAUGAUAUUUUUACCAACAGUGUUUGGGUACAGCUCUAUUUCGGCAUUUUUCAAAGCCUUUCUUUGCUGUUGGUAAGCCCAUUUAUUUUUGCUCAGGACACAACACACAUGUUACUCUGCCUGCAGCACACCAGUCAGCUGUUCUGGUCUACGGUGGUCGACAGAGACAAAGAAUAAAAUUACACUCAAAAACAAGUGGUUCUGAGUGCAACCAUGAUAUGACAUUUACUAUAGACACAAAGGGUCAUCUUAAUGUACUGAAGAUGAGUGGGAUUUGGUAAUAUGGGUAUUUCAGUGGCUCAUGUAGGCUAUCAGUCAUCAUCCAGAUUUCUCUGUCUCACUAAAUGCUACUUUCACCCACAUUUUUACAUUCGCAGAAGCUAACUCUACAGAUGCCUGGAUUUGAUUUAUUUAUUUCAUUACCUCUGUUUUCUCAGGAUCACAAAUUAAUUUCACGGUGGACUACAAACAUCGGGCUGAUCACUGCACAUGGCACAGUGUCCGCAGGGUCUGCCUUCUGCAACAGGACGAAAUGCACAGGGUAAGAUGCACACUCCACAGGAACUUUACAGGAACAGAUCACCCCAGAAUUAUUCAUAGUCAUAACUAUUAGGCUGUUGCUCCGGUGCUUCUUGGUACGUGCAGACAAACUUUGGCAUGUGAGACAACGCCGUGAUUGCAAGAAAACUAUCUCGUGAUCUUGAGAAAAUGGGGGUAAAAUAAAUAAAUAAAUAAAUAAACCAUGUCCGCUUAGGGCUUCCGUAUCAUUCUGAUCAGUUCGGUCGGAAUAUUUUGCAUAUGUUACUCUGACUCCAGUAUUUAGAUAAGAGUUUCUUAAAUCUAUCUUGAUACUGUGGGGAAAUUGACCCCAUCUGCAGGAGCU